GACGGAGGGUGCAAACGUUGUUCGGAAUCACUGGGCCUAAAGAGCACGUAGGCUGCGCGCUAAGUCAGGUGUGAAAUCCCCCGGCUCAACCGGGGAACUGCUCCUGAUACUGGCGUGCUCGAGGACGGUAGGGGUGAGUGGAACUCCAGGUGGAGCGGUGAAAUGCGUAGAUAUCCGGAGGAACACCGGUGGCGAAAGCGGCUCACUGGACCGUCUCUGACGCUGAGGUGCGAAAGCUAGGGUAGCAAACGGG
Molecule: ribosomal RNA, 253 nt
Filed under: uncultured bacterium
Lineage: Bacteria
Description: partial 16S ribosomal RNA
Rfam family: Bacterial small subunit ribosomal RNA
Source: RNAcentral